Molecule: ribosomal RNA, 2814 nt
Filed under: Klebsiella pneumoniae
Lineage: Bacteria; Pseudomonadati; Pseudomonadota; Gammaproteobacteria; Enterobacterales; Enterobacteriaceae
Description: bacterial LSU rRNA
Rfam family: Bacterial large subunit ribosomal RNA
Source: RNAcentral
UUAAGCGACUAAGCGUACACGGUGGAUGCCCUGGCAGUCAGAGGCGAUGAAGGACGUGCUAAUCUGCGAAAAGCGUCGGUAAGGUGAUAUGAACCGUUAUAACCGGCGAUGUCCGAAUGGGGAAACCCAGUGCAAUUCGUUGCACUAUCGUUAACUGAAUACAUAGGUUAACGAGGCGAACCGGGGGAACUGAAACAUCUAAGUACCCCGAGGAAAAGAAAUCAACCGAGAUUCCCCCAGUAGCGGCGAGCGAACGGGGAGCAGCCCAGAGUCUGAAUCAGCUUGUGUGUUAGUGGAACGGUCUGGAAAGUCCGACGGUACAGGGUGAUAGUCCCGUACACCAAAAUGCACAGGUUGUGAACUCGAAGAGUAGGGCGGGACACGUGGUAUCCUGUCUGAAUAUGGGGGGACCAUCCUCCAAGGCUAAAUACUCCUGACUGACCGAUAGUGAACCAGUACCGUGAGGGAAAGGCGAAAAGAACCCCGGCGAGGGGAGUGAAAAAGAACCUGAAACCGUGUACGUACAAGCAGUGGGAGCACCUUCGGGUGUGACUGCGUACCUUUUGUAUAAUGGGUCAGCGACUUAUAUUCUGUAGCAAGGUUAACCGUAUAGGGGAGCCGCAGGGAAACCGAGUCUUAACUGGGCGUUAAGUUGCAGGGUAUAGACCCGAAACCCGGUGAUCUAGCCAUGGGCAGGUUGAAGGUUGGGUAACACUAACUGGAGGACCGAACCGACUAAUGUUGAAAAAUUAGCGGAUGACUUGUGGCUGGGGGUGAAAGGCCAAUCAAACCGGGAGAUAGCUGGUUCUCCCCGAAAGCUAUUUAGGUAGCGCCUCGUGAAUUCAUCUUCGGGGGUAGAGCACUGUUUCGGCUAGGGGGUCAUCCCGACUUACCAACCCGAUGCAAACUACGAAUACCGAAGAAUGUUAUCACGGGAGACACACGGCGGGUGCUAACGUCCGUCGUGAAGAGGGAAACAACCCAGACCGCCAGCUAAGGUCCCAAAGUCAUGGUUAAGUGGGAAACGAUGUGGGAAGGCACAGACAGCCAGGAUGUUGGCUUAGAAGCAGCCAUCAUUUAAAGAAAGCGUAAUAGCUCACUGGUCGAGUCGGCCUGCGCGGAAGAUGUAACGGGGCUAAACCAUGCACCGAAGCUGCGGCAGCGACACUAUGUGUUGUUGGGUAGGGGAGCGUUCUGUAAGCCUGCGAAGGUGACCUGUGAGGGUUGCUGGAGGUAUCAGAAGUGCGAAUGCUGACAUAAGUAACGAUAAAGCGGGUGAAAAGCCCGCUCGCCGGAAGACCAAGGGUUCCUGUCCAACGUUAAUCGGGGCAGGGUGAGUCGACCCCUAAGGCGAGGCCGAAAGGCGUAGUCGAUGGGAAACAGGUUAAUAUUCCUGUACUUGGUGUUACUGCGAAGGGGGGACGGAGAAGGCUAUGUUAGCCGGGCGACGGUUGUCCCGGUUUAAGCAUGUAGGCUGAUUGUCCAGGCAAAUCCGGAUAAUCAAGGCUGAGGUGUGAUGACGAGGCACUACGGUGCUGAAGUAACAAAUGCCCUGCUUCCAGGAAAAGCCUCUAAGCAUCAGGUAACAUCAAAUCGUACCCCAAACCGACACAGGUGGUCAGGUAGAGAAUACCAAGGCGCUUGAGAGAACUCGGGUGAAGGAACUAGGCAAAAUGGUGCCGUAACUUCGGGAGAAGGCACGCUGGUGUGUAGGUGAAGUCCCUGCGGAUGGAGCUGAGACCAGUCGAAGAUACCAGCUGGCUGCAACUGUUUAUUAAAAACACAGCACUGUGCAAACACGAAAGUGGACGUAUACGGUGUGACGCCUGCCCGGUGCCGGAAGGUUAAUUGAUGGGGUUAUCCGUAAGGAGAAGCUCUUGAUCGAAGCCCCGGUAAACGGCGGCCGUAACUAUAACGGUCCUAAGGUAGCGAAAUUCCUUGUCGGGUAAGUUCCGACCUGCACGAAUGGCGUAAUGAUGGCCAGGCUGUCUCCACCCGAGACUCAGUGAAAUUGAACUCGCUGUGAAGAUGCAGUGUACCCGCGGCAAGACGGAAAGACCCCGUGAACCUUUACUAUAGCUUGACACUGAACAUUGAGCCUUGAUGUGUAGGAUAGGUGGGAGGCUUUGAAGCGUGGACGCCAGUCUGCGUGGAGCCAACCUUGAAAUACCACCCUUUAAUGUUUGAUGUUCUAACGUUGGCCCCUGACCGGGGUUGCGGACAGUGUCUGGUGGGUAGUUUGACUGGGGCGGUCUCCUCCCAAAGCGUAACGGAGGAGCACGAAGGUUAGCUAAUCCUGGUCGGACAUCAGGAGGUUAGUGCAAUGGCAUAAGCUAGCUUGACUGCGAGCGUGACGGCGCGAGCAGGUGCGAAAGCAGGUCAUAGUGAUCCGGUGGUUCUGAAUGGAAGGGCCAUCGCUCAACGGAUAAAAGGUACUCCGGGGAUAACAGGCUGAUACCGCCCAAGAGUUCAUAUCGACGGCGGUGUUUGGCACCUCGAUGUCGGCUCAUCACAUCCUGGGGCUGAAGUAGGUCCCAAGGGUAUGGCUGUUCGCCAUUUAAAGUGGUACGCGAGCUGGGUUUAGAACGUCGUGAGACAGUUCGGUCCCUAUCUGCCGUGGGCGCUGGAGAAUUGAGGGGGGCUGCUCCUAGUACGAGAGGACCGGAGUGGACGCAUCACUGGUGUUCGGGUUGUCAUGCCAAUGGCACUGCCCGGUAGCUAAAUGCGGAAGAGAUAAGUGCUGAAAGCAUCUAAGCACGAAACUUGCCCCGAGAUGAGUUCUCCCUGAGACUUUAAGUCUCCUGAAGGAACGUU